GACGAACGCUGGCGGCGUGCCUAAUACAUGCAAGUCGAACGCUUCUUUCCUCCCGAGUGCUUGCACUCAAUUGGAAAGAGGAGUGGCGGACGGGUGAGUAACACGUGGGUAACCUACCCAUCAGAGGGGGAUAACACUUGGAAACAGGUGCUAAUACCGCAUAACAGUUUAUGCCGCAUGGCAUAAGAGUGAAAGGCGCUUUCGGGUGUCGCUGAUGGAUGGACCCGCGGUGCAUUAGCUAGUUGGUGAGGUAACGGCUCACCAAGGCCACGAUGCAUAGCCGACCUGAGAGGGUGAUCGGCCACACUGGGACUGAGACACGGCCCAGACUCCUACGGGAGGCAGCAGUAGGGAAUCUUCGGCAAUGGACGAAAGUCUGACCGAGCAACGCCGCGUGAGUGAAGAAGGUUUUCGGAUCGUAAAACUCUGUUGUUAGAGAAGAACAAAGACGUUAGUAACUGAACGUCCCCUGACGGUAUCUAACCAGAAAGCCACGGCUAACUACGUG
Molecule: ribosomal RNA, 508 nt
Filed under: uncultured bacterium
Lineage: Bacteria
Description: partial 16S ribosomal RNA
Rfam family: Bacterial small subunit ribosomal RNA
Source: RNAcentral